AUUGUUUCCUUCGAGGAAGCAAUUCCCCGACAUAUUUUCCGUAUGCAAAGUGACCUCCGUGUGACCCAUCUCGUAAAAAUCCGGUGAUCGCAAUACGUAUGGAUGUCCUUAAAAUAAACUAUUAUCUGAUUGUACAUGUUAAACACGUGCUCAAUAUCCAUGCUUUUUUGGUUGAUUGUUGACAAACAGGUGACAAUCGUUAAACUUCGACUUCAAAACACGAACUUUAAUUACCUGCUAUAUUUUCACAACACUGACC
Molecule: long non-coding RNA, 259 nt
Filed under: Mytilus galloprovincialis (Mediterranean mussel)
Lineage: Eukaryota; Metazoa; Mollusca; Bivalvia; Mytilida; Mytilidae
Source: RNAcentral